This 506-nucleotide ribosomal RNA is filed under the name uncultured bacterium. Its description in RNAcentral is "partial 16S ribosomal RNA". It matches the Rfam family "Bacterial small subunit ribosomal RNA", at positions 29 to 523 of the family's 1533-position model. The record is from RNAcentral.
AGUGCACGCUGGCGGUAGGCCUAACACAUGCAAGUCGAACGGCAGCACAGAGGAGCUUGCUCCUUGGGUGGCGAGUGGCGGACGGGUGAGGAAUACAUCGGAAUCUACUUUUUCGUGGGGGAUAACGUAGGGAAACUUACGCUAAUACCGCAUACGACCUACGGGUGAAAGCAGGGGACCUUCGGGCCUUGCGCGAUUGAAUGAGCCGAUGUCGGAUUAGCUAGUUGGCGGGGUAAAGGCCCACCAAGGCGACGAUCCGUAGCUGGUCUGAGAGGAUGAUCAGCCACACUGGAACUGAGACACGGUCCAGACUCCUACGGGAGGCAGCAGUGGGGAAUAUUGGACAAUGGGCGCAAGCCUGAUCCAGCCAUACCGCGUGGGUGAAGAAGGCCUUCGGGUUGUAAAGCCCUUUUGUUGGGAAAGAAAUCCAGCUGGCUAAUACCCGGUUGGGAUGACGGUACCCAAAGAAUAAGCACCGGCUAACUUCGUGCCAGCAGCCGCAGUAA